GAUGAACGCUGGCGGCAUGCCUAAUACAUGCAAGUCGAGCGAAGCGGGGGCAGGGGAGUAACACGUCGAUAACCUCCUAUAAGACUGGGAUAACUUCGGGAAACCGGAGCUAAUCCGGCAAAUUAGAGAUGGUUGCGGGCGGGAUUAGCUAGUUGGUAAGGUAACGGCUUACCAAGGCAACGAUGCAUAGCCGACCUGAGAGGGUGAUCGGCCACACUGGAACUGAGACACGGUCCAGACUCCUACGGGAGGCAGCAGUAGGGAAUAUUCCGCAAUGGGCGAAAGCCUGAUGGAGCAACGCCGCGUGAGUGAUGAAGGUCUUCGGAUCGUAAAACUCUGUUAUUAGGGAAGCGGUACCUAAUCAGAAAGCACCGGCUAACUACGUGCCAGCAGCCGCGGUAAUUC
RNAcentral lists this ribosomal RNA (405 nucleotides) under uncultured bacterium. RNAcentral describes it as "partial 16S ribosomal RNA". It matches the Rfam family "Bacterial small subunit ribosomal RNA", at positions 28 to 526 of the family's 1533-position model. The record is from RNAcentral.